This is an RNA transcript of Asparagus officinalis (garden asparagus), 1464 nucleotides long. RefSeq lists it as uncharacterized. The transcript has 7 exons. The record is from RefSeq and is a predicted model, not a curated record. Lineage: Eukaryota; Viridiplantae; Streptophyta; Magnoliopsida; Asparagales; Asparagaceae.
AACCACUUUACCCUUUCAUCAGUUACGCUCCUCCUUUCAAUUCAUCGAUUACGUACCCUCCUCCGAUCUUCCGUUACCUCCACCAACUUUUAAAGAUGAAUUCAAUUCACCACUUCAUUCGUUACCCUUCUUCUCAGCCCAAUCUUCUCAGUUCUUCAGUUACGCAGUCCCACGAUCUUAAGCCAUCAAUUUCCAAAGAUGAUUGUUAUUACCCUAAUCAUCAACUCAACUCCUCUCAAGCCUCGUCUCCUCCUUCUCAUUCUGUAAUUUCUUUAAGCAAUGGAGAAAGUCACUGAUUCCGCAAAGCCCUAAUCCGAUCAUGCUACGAUUUAGAAUAGAUAAACCGCCUGAAAUAGUUCUAUGCUGCAGAUAGACUCAAUGAAAGGAAAUAUAUUGUUGUAGAUAGACUCCUUGAAGCGGGUAAAAGAUUCACUUAGGGGGUUUAUCUGCUACCAUAGAAUUAUAUAGGUAGUAAUUCUAUUUGGCAAUAGUGUAGAGGGUCUAUCUGCUACUAACCCUAUUUAUUUUCAAAUUAGCUAUCCUUUAGCUUGAGGUGCUGAAACUUUGCACGCUAUAUUUUGUAUAAUCCUUCAGUUGUUUCCUAGCCUUAAAAAGAUAGUAUUACUCUCAAUGAUGACAUUGUUGUUCAAGCAGAGCUGUCACCCUUAUACAUUGAUCUCCAAGGCAUGGUGAACGGUGCAAUAGAGACAUGCAGAGGUCAAGGAUUGUCCGAAUUAAGGCUUGCUUCAAGUCUUCAUCUUUCUCCUGUGUCAGUUUCAUCAGUUUAUUAUCGACAACAAAGUGCUUCCUUGCCUUCUUCAACUACUCACGCAUAAUUACAAAAAGAGCAUUAAAAAAGAAGCUUGCCGGACGCUCUCAAAUAUUACUGCUGGAACUAGAACUCAGAUCCAGUUUUUCAAUAUGCAUCACGUGCAGAAGUGACUUGCCCUCGAUGAAACCCCUGAUGCCUCUAAGGACUCAGCAUUGGACAAAAUUCCUCUUAUUCAUUCUAUGUCUAUAAAGGAUCAGAAGAUUCUGAUAAACUGUGGCAGAGGCCAGUUCGAAUCUUCAACACCUAGCAUGUUUUUCCUCAAUGUAUCUUCAUUUAAAAUGAGGUGCUCCUGGCCGGACAAGAGGACUAAUUAUCUCUGCAAUCAACUCAUCGACAAAUAAUAUUAAUGGGUUCAAACAACUUCAACAAUCCAUACAUCAAGCAAUUGGAGAAAGAUGUCUGCAUUAUCACUGACAUGUUAUUGAUUUUGUACUACGACAUAAGAGAUGAAACAGAGUAGUGUUUGAACACCAAGAGAGCUAGCAUGUUAAGUUGUAGUUGAGACAUGGUUAUGGUUCAUUCGUUGCUAUUAGAUAAAUCAUUAUGUUCUGUGAUCUAAGUGAAAUGAGAUUGCAAAAAAUUGUUUCAUGGGUGGUGAUGCCUACAUUUAUAGUAUCAUUGCUUUUAGCCUG